Molecule: ribosomal RNA, 402 nt
Filed under: uncultured Methanomicrobiales archaeon
Lineage: Archaea; Methanobacteriati; Methanobacteriota; Methanomicrobia; Methanomicrobiales
Description: bacterial SSU rRNA
Rfam family: Archaeal small subunit ribosomal RNA
Source: RNAcentral
CGACAGCAAUAUGAAGGUCAGGCUGAAGACCUUACCGGAUUAGCUGAGAGGUGGUGCAUGGCCGUCGUCAGUUCGUACUGUGAAGCAUCCUGUUAAGUCAGGCAACGAGCGAGACCCACGCCAACAGUUGCCAGCUCGUCCUCCGGGAUGGUGGGGACACUGUUGGGACCGCCUCUGCUAAAGAGGAGGAAGGAAUGGGCAACGGUAGGUCAGCAUGCCCCGAAUUAUCUGGGCUACACGCGGGCUACAAUGGGUGGGACAAUGGGUAUCGACACCGAAAGGUGAAGGCAAUCUCCUAAACCCAUCCGUAGUUCGGAUUGUGGGCUGCAACUCGCCCACAUGAAGCUGGAAUCUGUAGUAAUCGUGUCUCAAAAUGGCACGGUGAAUAUGUCCCUGCUCCUU